RNAcentral lists this ribosomal RNA (585 nucleotides) under uncultured marine bacterium. RNAcentral describes it as "bacterial SSU rRNA". It matches the Rfam family "Bacterial small subunit ribosomal RNA", at positions 338 to 916 of the family's 1533-position model. The record is from RNAcentral.
CCUACGGGAGGCAGCAGUGGGGAAUAUUGCACAAUGGGCGCAAGCCUGAUGCAGCCAUGCCGCGUGUAUGAAGAAGGCCUUCGGGUUGUAAAGUACUUUCAGUUGUGAGGAAGGGGGUGUUGUUAAUAGCAACAUCUCUUGACGUUAGCAACAGAAGAAGCACCGGCUAACUCCGUGCCAGCAGCCGCGGUAAUACGGAGGGUGCGAGCGUUAAUCGGAAUUACUGGGCGUAAAGCGCAUGCAGGUGGUUCAUUAAGUCAGAUGUGAAAGCCCGGGGCUCAACCUCGGAACUGCAUUUGAAACUGGUGAACUAGAGUACUGUAGAGGGGGGUAGAAUUUCAGGUGUAGCGGUGAAAUGCGUAGAGAUCUGAAGGAAUACCAGUGGCGAAGGCGGCCCCCUGGACAGAUACUGACACUCAGAUGCGAAGGCGUGGGGAGCAAACAGGAUUAGAUACCCUGGUAGUCCACGCCGUAAACGACGUCUACUUGGAGGUUGUGGCCUUGAGCCGUGGCUUUCGGAGCUAACGCGUUAAGUGGACCGCCUGGGGAGUACGGUCGCAAGAUUAAAACUCAAGGAAUUGACGG